Molecule: non-coding RNA, 69 nt
Organism: Euleptes europaea (tarantolino)
Lineage: Eukaryota; Metazoa; Chordata; Lepidosauria; Squamata; Sphaerodactylidae
Source: the annotation of a RefSeq genome assembly
GCCGUGGCUCAAUGGUAGAGCAUCUGCUUCACGUGCAGAAGGUCCCAGGUACAAUCCCUGGCAUCUCCA